CCUACGGGUGGCAGCAGUGAGGAAUAUUGGUCAAUGGACGAGAGUCUGAACCAGCCAAGUAGCGUGAAGGAUGACUGCCCUAUGGGUUGUAAACUUCUUUUAUAUGGGAAUAAAAUGUUCCACGUGUGGGAGUUUGUAUGUACCAUAUGAAUAAGGAUCGGCUAACUCCGUGCCAGCAGCCGCGGUAAUACGGAGGAUCCGAGGGUUAUCCGGAUUUAUUGGGUUUAAAGGGAGCGUAGGUGGAUUGUUAAGUCAGUUGUGAAAGUUUGCGGCUCAACCGUAAAAUUGCAGUUGAAACUGGCAGUCUUGAGUACAGUAGAGGUGGGCGGAAUGCGUGGUGUAGCGGUGAAAUGCUUAGAUAUCACGAAGAACUCCGAUUGUGAAGGCAGCUCACUGGACUGCAACUGACACUGAGGCUCGAAAGUGUGGGUAUCAAACAGGAUUAGAUACCCGAGUAGUC
RNAcentral lists this ribosomal RNA (460 nucleotides) under uncultured bacterium. Its description in RNAcentral is "partial 16S ribosomal RNA". It matches the Rfam family "Bacterial small subunit ribosomal RNA", at positions 338 to 795 of the family's 1533-position model. The record is from RNAcentral.